Molecule: ribosomal RNA, 500 nt
Filed under: uncultured bacterium
Lineage: Bacteria
Description: partial 16S ribosomal RNA
Rfam family: Bacterial small subunit ribosomal RNA
Source: RNAcentral
AUUGAACGCUGGCGGCAUGCCUUACACAUGCAAGGCGAACGGCAGCACAGGAGCAAUCCUGGUGGCGAGUGGCGAACGGGUGAGUAAUGUAUCGGAACGUGCCCAGUCGUGGGGGAUAACGUAGCGAAAGCUACGCUAAUACCGCAUACGAUCUGUGGAUGAAAGCGGGGGACCGUAAGGCCUCGCGCGAUUGGAGCGGCCGAUAUCAGAUUAGGUAGUUGGUGGGGUAAAGGCCUACCAAGCCGACGAUCUGUAGCUGGUCUGAGAGGACGACCAGCCACACUGGGACUGAGACACGGCCCAGACUCCUACGGGAGGCAGCAGUGGGGAAUUUUGGACAAUGGGCGCAAGCCUGAUCCAGCAAUGCCGCGUGCAGGAUGAAGGCCUUCGGGUUGUAAACUGCUUUUGUACGGAGCGAAAAGGCUCUCUCUAAUACAGGGGGCUCAUGACGGUACCGUAAGAAUAAGCACCGGCUAACUACGUGCCAGCCGCCGCAGUAA